GAUGAACGCUGGCGGCGUGCCUAAUACAUGCAAGUCGAGCGAACAGACGAGGAGCUUGCUCCUCUGACGUUAGCGGCGGACGGGUGAGUAACACGUGGAUAACCUACCUAUAAGACUGGGAUAACUUCGGGAAACCGGAGCUAGUACCGGAUAAUAUGUUGAAUCGCAUGGUUCAACAGUGAAAGACGGUCUUGCUGUCACUUAUAGAUGGAUCCGCGCCGCAUUAGCUAGUUGGUAAGGUAACGGCUUACCAAGGCAACGAUGCGUAGCCGACCUGAGAGGGUGAUCGGCCACACUCGAACUGAGACACGGUCCAGACUCCUACGGGAGGCAGCAGUAGGGAAUCUUCCGCAAUGGGCGAAAGCCUGACGGAGCAACGCCGCGUGAGUGAAGAAGGUCUUCGGAUCGUAAAACUCUGUUAUUAGGGAAGAACAAAUGUGUAAGUAACUAUGCACGUCUUGACGGUACCUAAUCAGAAAGCCACGGCUAACUACGUG
This 497-nucleotide ribosomal RNA is filed under the name uncultured bacterium. Its description in RNAcentral is "partial 16S ribosomal RNA". It matches the Rfam family "Bacterial small subunit ribosomal RNA", at positions 28 to 507 of the family's 1533-position model. The record is from RNAcentral.